This 613-nucleotide ribosomal RNA is filed under the name uncultured bacterium. RNAcentral's name for it is "bacterial SSU rRNA". It matches the Rfam family "Bacterial small subunit ribosomal RNA", at positions 888 to 1498 of the family's 1533-position model. The record is from RNAcentral.
GCAAGAUUAAAACUCAAAGGAAUAGACGGGGACCCGCACAAGUGGUGGAGCAUGUGGUUUAAUUCGAAGAUACGCGAAGAACCUUACCUAGCCUUGACAUUGAUUGAAUAGACCAGAGAUGGACUAGUGCCCUUCGGGGAACAUGAAAACAGGUGCUGCACGGCUGUCGUCAGCUCGUGUCGUGAGAUGUUGGGUUAAGUCCCGCAACGAGCGCAACCCUCGUCGUUAGUUGCUAACAGGUUAAGCUGAGCACUCUAGCGAGACUGCCUUCGCAAGAAGGAGGAAGGUGAGGACGACGUCAAGUCGUCAUGGCCCUUAUGGCUAGGGCUACACACGUGCUACAAUGGGGCGUACAGAGUGUUGCGAUACCGCGAGGUGGAGCCAAUCACUUAAAGCGUCUCUCAGUUCGGAUUGGAGUCUGCAACUCGACUCCAUGAAGCUGGAAUCACUAGUAAUCGUAGAUCAGCAAUGCUACGGUGAAUACGUUCCCGGGUCUUGUACUCACCGCCCGUCACACCAUGGGAGUUGAUUUCACCCGAAAUUGGGAAGCUAACCUUCGGGAGGCUACCACUUACGGUGGAAUUAGCGACUGGGGUGAAGUCGUAACAAGGUA